GCCAUAGUGUUUAUUUUACUCAUGUUAUAUACAUGUAAUGUACAUUUAAAACGGUAUACUUGCAAACCGUGGAAAUUAUGACAGUAGAGAGUUGUAAUAGUCUUAUUCAUUUAUUGUAUAAUAAGUGAACUCGUCUUUUUGUGCUUAAAGAUGUUUACAUAUAUACAUUUGUACAUAUAUAGAUACUAAUGUGUCUUACUGUGUUCCCGAAACGAGUCACAUGUUUUGUAUCAAAUAAGUGUCAGAAAUACUGUUGAAAAGGUAAAAAGAAAUCAUAUUGAUAAUGUAUUGAAAAUACGUGAUGAGGAGGUCCAAGAAACACAUGUUAAAGAGGUCGAAGAAACACGUACUGUAUUCAGAAGGUACAGAGACCUCGUGUCUAGAUGGUGCUAGAAAUACAUGGUCAGAAGGUACAGAAAACUCUUGUCUAGAUGGUGCUAGAAAUACAUGGUCAGAAGGUACAGAAAACUCGUGUGUAGAUGGUGCUAGAAAUACAUGGUCAGAAGGUACAGAAAACUCGUGUCUAGAUGGUGCUAGAAAUACAUGGUCAGAAGGUACAGAAAACUCGUGUCUAGAUGGUGCUAGAAAUACAUGGUCAGAAGGUACAGAAAACUCGUGUCCAGAGGGUGCUAGAAAUACAUGGUCAGAAGGUACAGAAAACUCGUGUCCAGAGGGUGCUAGAAAUACAUGGUCAGAAGGUACAGAAAACUCGUGUCUAGAUGGUGCUAGAAAUACAUGGUCAGAAGGUACAGAAAACUCUUGUCUAGAUGGUGCUAGAAAUACAUGGUCAGAAGGUACAGAAAACUCUUGUCUAGAUGGUGCUAGAAAUACAUGGUCAGAAGGUACAGAAAACUCGUGUCUAGAUGGUGCUAGAAAUACAUGGUCAGAAGGUAC
This is a long non-coding RNA of Haliotis rubra (blacklip abalone), 894 nucleotides long. RefSeq lists it as uncharacterized. The transcript has 2 exons. Lineage: Eukaryota; Metazoa; Mollusca; Gastropoda; Lepetellida; Haliotidae. The record is from RefSeq and is a predicted model, not a curated record.